Molecule: ribosomal RNA, 253 nt
Filed under: uncultured bacterium
Lineage: Bacteria
Description: partial 16S ribosomal RNA
Rfam family: Bacterial small subunit ribosomal RNA
Source: RNAcentral
UACGGAGGGUGCAAGCGUUAUCCGGAUUUACUGGGUUUAAAGGGUGCGUAGGCGGGCCUUUAAGUCAGUGGUGAAAGCUCCGAGCUUAACUCGGAAACUGCCAUUGAUACUAUUGGUCUUGAAUUCGGUCGAGGUUGGCGGAAUGUGUCGUGUAGCGGUGAAAUGCUUAGAUAUGACACAGAACACCGAUUGCGAAGGCAGCUCGUUACACGAAUAUUGACUCUGAGGCUCGAAAGCGUGGGGAUCAAACAGG